GAUUUAAAUCUCAGCACGACUGAACAUAGGUACUCCACUCGUCUUCCUUUACGAUCACAUUUCUUUUCCUUGGACAAUGGGUUUCGUGCAAAUGAAACGACAUUCGAGACAUUAACGUCGCGGCUAAAUGGUAGAAAUCAAGGGAAACCGUGGUGGCGAGGAGAAAACCGGAACGGAUGUGAUCACGGGAACGUAACGUACCAUGGUAAAUAAAAUCACGUUGUAAAAGAUUGGAAUCUGGAACGAGUCUUAUCAAAAAUAAAACCAACCGGCCGGUUUCAAAGGGAUAGUGGUAGGUAAGGAACGGAAUGAAAGAAUGGCGCUAUAUCGACUCGCGGUAAGCAUUCGAGAUAUUGAUAUCCUCGCAAUUGUAUACGUUUGGGAAAUAGAAAUUUGUUGGUAAAACUCGACUGCAGGCUAUUUAUUAUUUAGAUCGUAAUAUGAUAAAGUUAAUUAAAUGAUAACUGUCUUUUUAUCUCUCACAAAUUUGUAUAUCGAUCAAUGUCGGAUGAUAAAUUUACGCAGCGUUAAUAUCCGGCCGCUAAUGAAGGAAUGUGGCAUUCGUGACAGAGUAGAUAUCGGUGGAAUGUCGACAAAUUAAAUAAAUCAGAUGAUUUAUGAUACAGAUUUA
Molecule: long non-coding RNA, 631 nt
Organism: Bombus pascuorum
Lineage: Eukaryota; Metazoa; Arthropoda; Insecta; Hymenoptera; Apidae
Exons: 2
Source: RefSeq, a predicted model, not a curated record